GAGUAGCUGGGACUACAGGCGCCCGCCAUGAUGCCCGGCUAAUUUUUUGUAUUUUUAGCAGAGACGGGGUUUCACCCUGUUAGCCAGGAUGGUCUCAUCUCCUGACCUCGUGAUCCGCCCGCCUAGGCCUCCCAAAGUGCUGGGAUUACAGGCGUGAGCCACCGCGCCCGGCCUAAUAAAGGACAAUUUUUAAUAGCCACUGGACUAUUUAAGUGAUCUCUUCUGUCAGUUUCUUUUACCAUCAGAGGACACAGCAGCAAGGUGCCAUCCUAGAAGCAGAGAGCAGACCCUUACCAGACAACCAACCAGCUGGUGCCAUGAUCUUGGACUUCUCGGCCUCCAGAACUUUGAUUAAUUGGAUCCUCCACCUUGCAUAUAUACAUCUUGCAUAUAUAUACACGGGCUCAAUUAUUAGAUUUGUCAGGAUAAUCAAAUAAAAAUACCAGGCACUUAAACACGCAGCAUGAGGAAAAUGGAACAACAAUCUUGAGGUGCCUUCUGAAUCAUCAGAUUAAAUUAUGCUUCGGUCUUGCACUGCUGCCUAGGCUAGAGUGCAGUGGUGCAAUCAGGGCUCACUGCAGCCUCACUCAACUUCCCAGUCUCAAGCCAUCCUCCUACCUCAGCCUCUGUUCCACUAAUCUACUUGUCAAUUUUUCCAGCAACACCACACCCUCCUGAUCACCAUAGCUUUAUGCAACAACAAGAAACAAAUUUAUUAGCUAACCUAACCACUAAUGACGCAAGAGACAAUUCUAAGGACUUUCAAAACAGCAAAGUAGGAGCAGCUGCUACCUCUAGGGAUGAGGGAGAAACUCAAAAAUGCAUACAAAAACCAUUGCAUGAAAAGUGACUGGAUUUGUACAUAGCGUCAGGAGAUGUGCGUAGUGUCAAAGUAUCUCAUCACACAUUACUUGAUAAUUACAAAUGAGAAAAAUGAACCUUCACAGUGGCAAGACUUGACUUCUACCUCUUUCAAAAAGAUGCAAUUGUCCAAUUAUUGGUGAAAUUGUCAUUUCAUGCUAUUGGCUAUUUGAAAUUCCUCCUCUAAUUUCAGAAUAAAUCACUGAAAUUGACAUCGGCCAGUCUGAAUUUCAAGAAAUUACCUGCUGAAGACAAGAGGGAUCUCUUCUUCAGAUUUGCAGUCUGGGGAAGACACAGCCUCUACUGUACUUUAGAACCUGAGAUAUGGUGGUGGAGGGAGCCCUGGGUCGAGUGGUAAGAUUCACCCUUAGGUUAGUAUUGACGUAAGGUGACGAGGAGCUGUAGACAAAAGAUUGUAACCAUAAGAACUUCAUAGUUUUUGUAUUUUCACCGAGCUUAUAUUUGGUGUGUUUUUUGUCUUUUCUUUAUGAUUAUCAAUAAAAUGCUUGAAAGGA
This 1376-nucleotide long non-coding RNA is filed under the name Homo sapiens (human). RNAcentral describes it as "long intergenic non-protein coding RNA 470". Lineage: Eukaryota; Metazoa; Chordata; Mammalia; Primates; Hominidae. The record is from RNAcentral.